AGGGUUUCAUGUGUAUCUCUUG
RNAcentral lists this microRNA (22 nucleotides) under Gallus gallus (chicken). RNAcentral describes it as "gga-miR-1605". The record is from miRBase by way of RNAcentral. Lineage: Eukaryota; Metazoa; Chordata; Aves; Galliformes; Phasianidae.